GACGAACGCUGGCGGCGUGCCUAAUACAUGCAAGUAGAACGCACAGUUUAUACCGUAGCUUGCUACACCAUAGACUGUGAGUUGCGAACGGGUGAGUAACGCGUAGGUAACCUGCCUGGUAGCGGGGGAUAACUAUUGGAAACGAUAGCUAAUACCGCAUAAUAUUGAUUAUUGCAUGAUAAUUAAUUGAAAGGUGCAAUUGCACCACUACCAGAUGGACCUGCGUUGUAUUAGCUAGUAGGUGAGGUAACGGCUCACCUAGGCGACGAUACAUAGCCGACCUGAGAGGGUGAUCGGCCACACUGGGACUGAGACACGGCCCAGACUCCUACGGGAGGCAGCAGUAGGGAAUCUUCGGCAAUGGACGAAAGUCUGACCGAGCAACGCCGCGUGAGUGAAGAAGGUUUUCGGAUCGUAAAGCUCUGUUGUAAGAGAAGAACGGGUGUGAGAGUGGAAAGUUCACACUGGGACGGUAUCUUACCAGAAAGGGACGGCUAACUACGU
This 504-nucleotide ribosomal RNA is filed under the name uncultured bacterium. RNAcentral's name for it is "partial 16S ribosomal RNA". It matches the Rfam family "Bacterial small subunit ribosomal RNA", at positions 28 to 506 of the family's 1533-position model. The record is from RNAcentral.